GAUGAACGCUGGCGGCGUGCCUAAUACAUGCAAGUCGUGCGAACAGACGAGGAGCUUGCUCCUCUGACGUUAGCGGCGGACGGGUGAGUAACACGUGGAUAACCUACCUAUAAGACUGGGAUAACUUCGGGAAACCGGAGCUAAUACCGGAUAAUAUAUUGAACCGCAUGGUUCAAUAGUGAAAGACGGUUUUGCUGUCACUUAUAGAUGGAUCCGCGCCGCAUUAGCUAGUUGGUAAGGUAACGGCUUACCAAGGCAACGAUGCGUAGCCGACCUGAGAGGGUGAUCGGCCACACUGGAACUGAGACACGGUCCAGACUCCUACGGGAGGCAGCAGUAGGGAAUCUUCCGCAAUGGGCGAAAGCCUGACGGAGCAACGCCGCGUGAGUGAUGAAGGUCUUCGGAUCGUAAAACUCUGUUAUUAGGGAAGAACAAAUGUGUAAGUAACUAUGCACAUCUUGACGGUACCUAAUCAGAAAGCCACGGCUAACUACGUG
This 497-nucleotide ribosomal RNA is filed under the name uncultured bacterium. RNAcentral's name for it is "partial 16S ribosomal RNA". It matches the Rfam family "Bacterial small subunit ribosomal RNA", at positions 28 to 507 of the family's 1533-position model. The record is from RNAcentral.